Non-coding RNA from Rattus norvegicus (Norway rat), 69 nucleotides. The record is from Rfam. Lineage: Eukaryota; Metazoa; Chordata; Mammalia; Rodentia; Muridae.
GGGGGUUUAGCUCAGUGGUAGAGCGCUUGCCUAGCAAGCGCAAGGCCCUGGGUUCAGUCCCCAGCUCCG